AAAAAAGCUUGAUUUGACAUUCUCACUUCCAGAGACCGCUGCAGUUCCUCCCUCCAUCUGGUAUUCCUGUAAUUUCUACAGAGCUGUUGGAGAGUGAAGCAGCACAGAGCUGACCAUUUAAAGACUCCUCCUGACCAGACCACACCUCUGUCCUUGAGU
Etheostoma spectabile (orangethroat darter) is the source of this 159-nucleotide long non-coding RNA. RefSeq lists it as uncharacterized. The transcript is spliced from 3 exons. Lineage: Eukaryota; Metazoa; Chordata; Actinopteri; Perciformes; Percidae. The record is from RefSeq and is a predicted model, not a curated record.